This 802-nucleotide unclassified non-coding RNA is filed under the name Hevea brasiliensis (rubber tree). Lineage: Eukaryota; Viridiplantae; Streptophyta; Magnoliopsida; Malpighiales; Euphorbiaceae. The record is from RNAcentral.
GGUUUUCUCUCUGCAGUUCGACACUAGAACGAUUUUAUCCGCUGUCUAGCUAGUUGAAUAAAAAAAAUGGCAUCUUUCUUAGCAACUUGGCUUUACCAAGAUAGAGGACUGAGGGAUACAGUUUGUGCAGAUAGCUUUGUUACUGGGAAGCCAGGCUACAGUCAUCUGCAGACAGCAUUUGUAGGUUCAUUUUCAACUGGAAUUUUGCAAGUUCAGUUUGGCUCUAAAGCAUUUCUGAAGGCUCCAUUACUUCCUUGUAUAAAGUGUGAGAAGAAGGAUGAAUACAUCGAACAUGUGUCUGUUGAACGCCCUCCUUACCAUAGUUAUAUGGACUCCACAUCUGGGCAACUUGAGCCAGCAUCUGGUGCUCGUGCUAGCAUUCCAGGACAGGAGUACUGGCCAGAAGGCACUGCUGAUCGAGUUAGGGCUGCCAGGGCUCCUGAACCAACAGGCACGUCAACAGGAUCUCCAUCUUAUGGUGAAAGGCCUGGAAGUAGGAGGAAAAAGUACAGAACAUCAGCCACUGCUCCUGAAUCUAAUGAAGUGACCAUAGAAGCUCCCAAGGCACCUGAUACUCUCGACGAGACAAUGGAAGAACCUAAAGAUAUCUCAUCUGAUUAUGUGGUUUAUCAGAUGGAACCUGAGGAAGAACAAGAAACUGGAUAUGAAUUAGACAAGAAGCUGGGACGCCCUCAUCCCUUUAUUGAUCCAAAAGUCAAGAAGCCAAUUGAGGGGACGCUUACAAGUGAAGAAUUAUGGUGGAACUGGAGAAAGCCAGAGGAUGAGCAAUGGUCAAGAUGGC